This 652-nucleotide long non-coding RNA is filed under the name Vulpes vulpes (red fox). RNAcentral describes it as "lncRNA (ENSVVUG00000014256.1)". Lineage: Eukaryota; Metazoa; Chordata; Mammalia; Carnivora; Canidae. The record is from RNAcentral.
CUUGUGAGCACUGGCUCCAUGAAAGAUGGUCUCUGGACAGGAGCUAUAGUCUUGGACGAAUAUAGCCUCUGCCAGAAAUGCAAUUCAAAGCAGGAAAGGAGAGAUUUAUUCACAUUACCAAUAAUGUUCAUAUAACACACUUUAACUAGAUUUUGACCCCUGCAAAAAUAACCCAAAAAUGAAGUCCUCUUUUCCUGUGGCUGAGGCUUGAAACCGAAUCAGAAGCAUAUUGCUCUGGCUUCUCUUCAGUGAAAUUAAAAGAAAAAGGUUCAGUGUAUGAUGGAUGUUUUCAGAGAAAGUACUUGCAUUUUUUAUAAUAUAAUGCCAACUGUAUCACAAUCUCUAUAAAGGUGCAGACCAUGUCCAGCCUAUUUGCCAAUGACACCAUAUUACUACUGCAUGAAAUAACAGAUUCAAGGAAACAAGAAGUAGAUUCAUUCAUUCAUCCAAAACAUACCAAAUGCCUGCAUGUACCAAAUAUUUUUCUAGCCACUGAUGACACAGAGGGGAUUAAGUUCCAGUUCUCUUUGCAACUUAUAUUUCAAGAGGGAAAAAAAAAAAAACAAAGAAGGGAAGGGGCUAGAGACUGAUAGGUGAAAUAGGCUUUGUUUUGUUUUUUGACAGGAUAAAUAAAUUGCCCAUUUAUUGAUCA